Austrofundulus limnaeus is the source of this 1035-nucleotide long non-coding RNA. RefSeq lists it as uncharacterized. Lineage: Eukaryota; Metazoa; Chordata; Actinopteri; Cyprinodontiformes; Rivulidae. The transcript has 2 exons. The record is from RefSeq and is a predicted model, not a curated record.
GGAGCAUAAAAGGCACUCGAAGCAGGAGAACCUGAAGCUUUCUUCUCUACGAACACAUUCAAAAUGGCAAAACAAGAGUAUAAUGACGUUGUUGAACACUGUGCCCGUGAGCUCCGAAAAGUUGGAGACAAGCUGUACUGGAAGUACAAACUACUGGAAAUACUGAUCAACAACUACAAGACUGUGUAUAAGAUAACAUGAGACGUCACAGCUGAAGAACAUGAAAAGGGAAUGAAAAUAUGGAAGAAGAAAAGACAUUAAAAAGUAAAAAAGCCAACACAGAAAAAAAGUCUUGGAUGUGGACUCGUCGUCGGUGACAAAGUGUCAUCCCUCAGGGGGAGAGCUGGACAUCAACCAGUGGAAACAAGUCGUCAGAGUCAGUGGUAUGGACUUUGGACUGGGACCAGUACUGUACAGAGGAACAAGCUUGUGGGAGGUGGUUGAUCCUGAGGCGUGUGGAUGACUGGACCAAUGGAGGUUUAUCUGCUGACGCUGAUAGUACUGCACAUAUAUCUUUGUUUUGGGCUUUUUUGUGCCCGGUUAAAAAACUUUUUACAAAAACAAUUAAUUUAAAUGUGUCCUCUCAAACUGACAGGACUGAACUAUCACUACCUGUUUAAAUACUAAUACUAAGAAUGAUACAUAUUAUUUCUUACUGUGGGAAACUUUAUGUCAUACUUAUUUAUAAGUGGAUAAUUUAUUAAUAUUGCUGCCUUAAAUAAUUUUAAUAUCUAUUUACUACUUUUUUACUCUGAGUGCAACUCCAAUUGUUUUAUUUAUCUUUUAUUUCAAGAAUAUAUUGCUAAUAUUUGUGUUUGAAAAUAUAUUUGAUUUACUUAAUAAGUUAUCCUUAAAAAUGACUACUUUUUCCAAGCUUGGCUGCUGCACAAAAGCCAUAUAAAAACCAAAUGCAUGUUAGUUUCGAUGUGGCAGGUUACUUUAUAUUGAUAGUAUCCUGUUUUCUGUGACAAUAAUUUAGAUUUUUAAUUGUAUUUGUGAGCAAACAGAUUUUUAUUAAAAAGCCUGUUGACUUUC